Molecule: long non-coding RNA, 1002 nt
Filed under: Zonotrichia albicollis (white-throated sparrow)
Lineage: Eukaryota; Metazoa; Chordata; Aves; Passeriformes; Passerellidae
Description: lncRNA (ENSZALG00000015660.1)
Source: RNAcentral
CCUGCCUCUGCCCGGCAGGCAUGGGGAUUUGAUGUCCUGAGUGUAUCCCUGCCUUUUUCUCUGCAUGGCAGGGAUGGGGAUUUGGUGUCUCAAGUGUGUCCCUGCCUUUCGCUUUGCCCAGCAGCCAUGGGGAUUUAUAUCUCGGGUAUGUUCCUGCCUUUCCCUCUAUCUGGCAGUGAUGGGGAUUUGGUAUCCCGGGUGUUCCUGCCUUUUCUUCUGCAUGGCAGUGAUGGGGAUUUGGUAUCCUGGGUGUUCCUGCCUUUCCCUCUGCCCAUCAGGGACGGGGAUUUGGUAUCCUGGGUGUUCCUGCCUUUCCCUCUGCCCAUCAGGGACGGGGAUUUGGUAUCCCGGGUUGUUCCUGCCUUGCCCCGAGCCGGGCUGGGCUGUGCAGGAGCGGAGCUGCAGCUGGAGGGAGCUCCGGACCGGAGUUAAUGAGGAGCCGGCGCUAAUUAAGCAGCGCUGCAUUCACCCAGGGAUACGGAGAUGCUCCAGGAGGAGCGGGGGUGAUGCAGGAACCGGAGCUGACAGCAGGAAACUCGGGAUGUGGGGAAAAGAGAGACCAAACUCGCUCAGUGCUUUCACUGAGAUCCUCACCCUGGAAGAGGGCAGAGCUUCAGGUGCCCAUUCCAGGGUCCCCCUUCAGAUUCCCCAUUCCAUGGUCACCCCUGCUGCUCUCACUGGUGUGACUGGGAAAGAUCCUGGGAGCAGCCCCAGUCCCAGCUCAGAGCCUGGAGCAGCCCUGGGGACACUGGUGGGAUCCUCUCUUUGCAGGGCGGAUUUUUCAGCUGAAAAGCAAAGAGGAAAAGAAGCUGAAAGGUUCCCUCUGAUUCCAACCCAGCCUCUCUGCUGUUCCACACCAAACAAGGUGGACAAAUGAGAGAUUUUCCAGCCCUUGUGUGUCCCUGUCCUUUGCUCUCCUCUGCAUGUGCAGCUCCUGACAGACAGACAGACAGACCCUGGAUGGACAGGACAGUGGGGACAGGGAUGGUUCCUUCCCUCAGC